Molecule: ribosomal RNA, 426 nt
Filed under: uncultured prokaryote
Description: bacterial SSU rRNA
Rfam family: Bacterial small subunit ribosomal RNA
Source: RNAcentral
UCGAGAAUUUUUCACAAUGGGCGAAAGCCUGAUGGAGCGACGCCGCGUGGGGGAUGAAUGGCUUCGGCCCGUAAACCCCUGUCAUUCGCGAUCAACCCUUAUUAUUUAAAAGAUGAUAAGCUGAUAGUAGCGGAAGAGGAAGGGACGGCUAACUCUGUGCCAGCAGCCGCGGUAAUACAGAGGUCCCAAGCGUUGUUCGGAUUCACUGGGCGUAAAGGGUGCGUAGGUGGUGACGUAAGUCGGAUGUGAAAGCUCGGAGCUCAACUCCGAAAUGGCAUUGGAAACUGCGUUGCUAGAGGGUCGGAGGGGGGACUGGAAUUCUCGGUGUAGCAGUGAAAUGCGUAGAUAUCAAGUGGAACACCAGUGGCGAAAGCGAGUCCCUGGACAACUCCUGACACUGAGGCACGAAAGCUAGGGGAGCAAACA